GGUUGUGGCUCAGCGGUAGAGUGCUCGCUUUGCACGUGUGAGACCCUGGGUGCGAUCCUCAGCACCA
This 67-nucleotide transfer RNA is filed under the name Marmota monax (woodchuck). RNAcentral's name for it is "tRNA.Ala". It matches the Rfam family "tRNA". From Rfam's summary of the family: Transfer RNA (tRNA) molecules are approximately 80 nucleotides in length. Lineage: Eukaryota; Metazoa; Chordata; Mammalia; Rodentia; Sciuridae. The record is from RNAcentral.